CAAGAAGUUUUUCGGGAUUUAGAGUUAGCUAAAAUUUAAGAUGGAUUUUUUGAGAUGUGACAAUUAUAGACUGGUAGAAUUUAUCUGCUGUGAAAUUGACCAGGAUGUAUUUGACUGCUUUGAUCAACUGUCCAUAUAAUCAUUAUGGCUUUGGGUGAAGGCUGUCUGUAAUUGCCAAGUCAACAUUUACCAAGCCAAUAUCUGGUGCCUCUUGC
Molecule: long non-coding RNA, 215 nt
Organism: Saccostrea echinata
Lineage: Eukaryota; Metazoa; Mollusca; Bivalvia; Ostreida; Ostreidae
Exons: 3
Source: RefSeq, a predicted model, not a curated record